Molecule: long non-coding RNA, 3234 nt
Filed under: Pomacea canaliculata
Lineage: Eukaryota; Metazoa; Mollusca; Gastropoda; Architaenioglossa; Ampullariidae
Description: uncharacterized LOC112561959, transcript variant X1
Source: RNAcentral
UGCAGCUUUCAUUCAGCUCUGUUUACUCCGUGAUGUUUUGUGCAUAUUUCCCUAAACACCUUUUAUUAAAAGUAAAUAAAGCAAGUUCGAUCUGUCAACAUUGCCAAAAGCUUUUUGAAAAUCUAACUGCAGUGUAAACGAGACUACCCUGGUUGACAGGUAUUUCUGUAUCAAGGACAACAUGCAAAAUACGUUGGUAUUCGUUCUCUAGCCUUUGUGGAAACCUGCUUUGGGCCUUUGGGGGUAAUUCAUUAUCUUUUGCCAGAAACGAGACAAUCUGCUGAAGUUACUGUAUAAUUUACUUUUGAUAUUCAAAGCUGUCUGCGUUGUCCUUUUUAUGGAGAGAAAAUAUUUGAGCCUUCGGCGAACAGUCCGGAUGCCACUGGUUCGAACUUUAUUUUAAAAGUGAAAUCAGAAGUCUCACAAGGGUAUUGUUUACAAAUUUCAACCAUCCAUCAGUCAGUUAGUCCUCCCUUGAAUGGUACUGGUCGUCGGGAAGGGGGAGAGCACACGGACAGACGAAGCAGUUGAGAGCCCGUUACCCACGCCUGUCUUGGGCAAUAGUGAGCAGGUCCUGCACAAGACGACUAUAGUCCACCCGUUGAUGUUUCAUCCUCUGACCACCUUCCAGGGUACCUUGAAGAAUAGUCUUUGACAAUGUGUCGUGCCGGGUCACAUGACCAGACCGGACCAGCUUACGCCCCUUGACUGUUUGCAAGAAAGGGUUCCUCACGUCUUCUGAACGUGGCGACCAUGCUUCGUACGAACUCAUUGGUUCUAAGUUCUCUGUGCGAGAUCCAGAGCAGCCUCAUCAAGCAUUUUGUUCUCGAACGCCCGAAUUCUCAUCUCCGUAUCGACAAACAGGGUCCACGUGUCACAUCCGGAAAGCAGGAUCGACACCAGGAGGACUUGUAUAUGUUGUGUUUCGUGAAAGACCCUGUCCAGCGUAUCAUUGCCGCUGCUGCUGUCGCGAUCCUGAUGCAGAUAUCUGUCGUGGUCCUGCCAUCAUAGGAGAGGGUGGCUCCCAGGGACUAAAAUGGUCCAGCAUGUUGCGAUGGUUGCCGUGUGGGUCAAUCGACUACAUGGGUAGUAAACAUUAUGAGUGUUUAUAAGGAGCAACAAGCGCUGAGUGACCAUCCAACUCCGAACACACGACAGGAAAACAAACCAAAAAUUCAGAUGGGAAGAGGUUAUACGGACUCGUAGUGAGCUGUACCUGUGUCCAUAGAAGGGAUGGGGCAUGCACGCGUAUGCAUCUGCACGUGCGAGGUUUCCUCCAACGUCUUCACCAGGUGUUGUUCUACCUCCAGCACCCGGCGAUUUCCACGUCCUCAGUUACAGCCGAGCCAGGGUACAUGACAGGUCAUGACCACGGGUAGCGCCUCCAGAACCGACUCGCAGGUAACGAUAACCACCGCAGACCCAGGGGACUGUCAUCUCCUCACUUGGACUUCAUCGCCAGUGACCGACCGCGCGAGAUGGAGUGGAGUCAGUGACCUGAAGGCGCGUGCUGUGUGACCUCGGCCGAACAAUAACCGAGGGAGGGCAGCCACCCGACAGUUAUGCCUCAUGCCGUGGCCUUGCGUGACUUUGAGGUCACAAGCGGCUGUGGUGUAUGGGUCGCUACACAUGUACAUACACUGUAAGUCUGGCCGUGGUCAGUGUGGCGAACCGUGGGGGUAAAGGGACACUGCUCGUUACCACCAUCUCUUCAUCACGCUCAGUCGACAGCCGGGCUACACCACCACGUACAUGCGCGCGCGUGCGCACAUCGCGUCCUUCCCAUUGGCUUGGCAACGCGACCAAUGGCGUGGCGGCACACCAGUGUAGUCCGGAGGUCGACCACCGGUCCACAGAGCUUCAGUAGCUUGCAAACAGAGGAUGACCUGCACAAGGACUGCAGGACGAGCCCCCGAGCUAGCUCUGUGACCAAGGGACUCGAGGUGUAGCAGUUCAUGACCCCGGCCAGGCAAACUUUCGCCCUUAUCCCAUGCGGCCUUGCGCACAGAUCGUCUGCAAGCAACGAGUUGCCUGUCCAGAGAUUUGGAUCGCAACUUGGUUGCUCAUUUUAGUCAGUUUUACCGGCAUCUACCAAGCUGUCUCCAGCCCCUGCUCUCCCAGCCCGUCAUUGCCAUCAUCCCAUCAUGCUCAGAACCGGUGAGAAACACCGGCGCACCGUCUUCCUUCCACGAAAGCAGGCCCUUCACGAUCGUCAGAUGCGGCAGACGUUUGUCAGCGUGACCUGAGAUUGAUGAUGAUGUUGAUGACGACGACGAUGACUUGACCUGCGAGACACCUGGUCUUCCAUGACGUCACACUGAUGACAUCGUCGCGACCGUUACGACCACCUCAAGACUAACGUGUAGGUGACUAACUCAAGGGGCGGAACUUUCCGAUGACAAGAAAGAAGAUUCCCGUGGUGAUGGUUCGUGAUUCAACGAAAUGGUGACCCGUGACGACGAGAGGUCAGUGGUGCUAGACACAGGGAGAGUGAGGACCACGGGGAGCUAAGACCCUCGUGAACACGUGUUAUCACUUUAUCAUCACAUUGUUUAUCAAGAGAGAAACAAAGUGGAUGACAACACACAGACAGACACACCCACUGUUGUGACAUUCCUUCCCUUAGUGCGCACUCGGUUGUCUCCCAUCAACCAUGGUCCUGUCACUUCACCAGACAACUCCACUAUGGCCUGUCGCUGAUUAUGUCCCUUGAUAUCACUUUUAAUUUGUUUAUGUUGUUGGUCUCUCUCUUGCCCAGUUUCCUGCUCGCUCAAGGAUUUUUUUUCGAAAUUUACAUGGUAUUAAAACUGUUUUCAGAAUAUAGGAGCAUGACGAGUUUUACUGACCACAAAUUUCCUAGGGGUGGAUUAACAUGGUUUAAAAACGUUCAUAUUUAUUAUUUAAAAAUGUCUCUGACGAUCAGGAGAUUGUGUGGAGCUUAGCUCUGAAGGAUGAUUAUAACACGGGUACAUACAUCGAAUAUUUUAAAAAGGAUGUUCGAUCACGAAUUGUUCGUAUGGUGAGAAUACAAACACGUGUAAAAUUGUGAAUGAAGCCAUUUAUCAUGUUUAGUAAGUUUGUUUUACAUAAAGAUGACCCUUGAUGUUAUUGUAUGCCUCGACAGUGACUAGUACAGUUAAAAAAAUGUCAUUUUGUGCUCCUCUUUGUGACAGGAAUGAUAACAGGCAAAACUUUGUAACUGUCGUUUCGAAUAAACUUCUUGGCGAUACAUAA